CGGGACGGGUGAGUAACGCGUGGGUAACCUGCCUUGUACUGGGGGACAACAGUUGGAAACGACUGCUAAUACCGCAUAAGCGCACAGCUUCGCAUGAAGCAGUGUGAAAAACUCCGGUGGUAUGAGAUGGACCCGCGUCUGAUUAGCUGGUUGGUGAGGUAACGGCCCACCAAGGCGACGAUCAGUAGCCGGCCUGAGAGGGUGACCGGCCACAUUGGGACUGAGACACGGCCCAA
This 236-nucleotide ribosomal RNA is filed under the name uncultured bacterium. RNAcentral's name for it is "partial 16S ribosomal RNA". It matches the Rfam family "Bacterial small subunit ribosomal RNA", at positions 100 to 334 of the family's 1533-position model. The record is from RNAcentral.